RNAcentral lists this ribosomal RNA (920 nucleotides) under Paraburkholderia sp. RNAcentral describes it as "bacterial SSU rRNA". It matches the Rfam family "Bacterial small subunit ribosomal RNA", at positions 83 to 1000 of the family's 1533-position model. The record is from RNAcentral. Lineage: Bacteria; Pseudomonadati; Pseudomonadota; Betaproteobacteria; Burkholderiales; Burkholderiaceae.
CCCUGGUGGCGAGUGGCGAACGGGUGAGUAAUACAUCGGAACGUGUCCUGUAGUGGGGGAUAGCCCGGCGAAAGCCGGAUUAAUACCGCAUACGCUCUACGGAGGAAAGGGGGGGAUCUUAGGACCUCUCGCUACAGGGGCGGCCGAUGGCAGAUUAGCUAGUUGGUGGGGUAAAGGCCUACCAAGGCGACGAUCUGUAGCUGGUCUGAGAGGACGACCAGCCACACUGGGACUGAGACACGGCCCAGACUCCUACGGGAGGCAGCAGUGGGGAAUUUUGGACAAUGGGCGCAAGCCUGAUCCAGCAAUGCCGCGUGUGUGAAGAAGGCCUUCGGGUUGUAAAGCACUUUUGUCCGGAAAGAAAACGUCGUGGUUAAUACCCGUGGCGGAUGACGGUACCGGAAGAAUAAGCACCGGCUAACUACGUGCCAGCAGCCGCGGUAAUACGUAGGGUGCAAGCGUUAAUCGGAAUUACUGGGCGUAAAGCGUGCGCAGGCGGUCCGCUAAGACAGAUGUGAAAUCCCCGGGCUUAACCUGGGAACUGCAUUUGUGACUGGCGGGCUAGAGUAUGGCAGAGGGGGGUAGAAUUCCACGUGUAGCAGUGAAAUGCGUAGAGAUGUGGAGGAAUACCGAUGGCGAAGGCAGCCCCCUGGGCCAAUACUGACGCUCAUGCACGAAAGCGUGGGGAGCAAACAGGAUUAGAUACCCUGGUAGUCCACGCCCUAAACGAUGUCAACUAGUUGUCGGGUCUUCAUUGACUUGGUAACGUAGCUAACGCGUGAAGUUGACCGCCUGGGGAGUACGGUCGCAAGAUUAAAACUCAAAGGAAUUGACGGGGACCCGCACAAGCGGUGGAUGAUGUGGAUUAAUUCGAUGCAACGCGAAAAACCUUACCUACCCUUGACAUGUAUGGAAUCCUG